AUUGAACGCUGGCGGCAUGCUUUACACAUGCAAGUCGAACGGCAGCACGGGCUUCGGCCUGGUGGCGCGUUGCGAACGGGUGAGUAAUUUAUCGGAACGUACCCAGCCUUGGGGGCUAACGUAGCUAAAGUUACGCUAAUACCGCAUACGAUCUAUGGAUGAAAGCCGGGGACCGCAAGGCCUUGUGCUCCUUGCUCUCCCCAUUUCUGAUUAGCUAGUUGGUGAGGUAAAGGCUCACCAAGGCGACGAUCAGUAGCUGGUCUGAGAGGCCGACCAGCCACACUGGAACUGAGACACGGUCCAGACUCCUACGGGAGGCAGCAGUGGGGAAUUUUGGACAAUGGGCGCAAGCCUGAUCCAGCAAUGCCGCGUGAGUGAAGAAGGCCUUCGGGUUGUAAAGCUCUUUUGUCAGGGAAGAAACGGUAGAGGCUAAUAUACGUUGGUAAUGACGGUACCUGAAGAAUAAGCACCGGCUAACUACGUG
Molecule: ribosomal RNA, 484 nt
Filed under: uncultured bacterium
Lineage: Bacteria
Description: partial 16S ribosomal RNA
Rfam family: Bacterial small subunit ribosomal RNA
Source: RNAcentral